UUUGGCCUACGCGAGACAGCAGUGGGGAAUAUUGCACAAUGGGCGAAAGCCUGAUGCAGCAACGCCGCGUGAAGGAAGAAGGGUUUCGGCUCGUAAACUUCUAUCAACAGGGACGAAAGAAAUGACGGUACCUGAAUAAGAAGCCCCGGCUAACUACGUGCCAGCAGCCGCGGUAAUACGUAGGGGGCAAGCGUUAUCCGGAAUUACUGGGUGGAAAGGGUGAGGAGGCGGCAUGGGAAGCCAGAUGAGAAAGCCUAG
RNAcentral lists this ribosomal RNA (258 nucleotides) under uncultured bacterium. Its description in RNAcentral is "partial 16S ribosomal RNA". It matches the Rfam family "Bacterial small subunit ribosomal RNA", at positions 330 to 605 of the family's 1533-position model. The record is from RNAcentral.